Actinia tenebrosa (Australian red waratah sea anemone) is the source of this 235-nucleotide long non-coding RNA. Lineage: Eukaryota; Metazoa; Cnidaria; Anthozoa; Actiniaria; Actiniidae. The record is from RefSeq and is a predicted model, not a curated record.
UCGGAUAGAUGUGACGCAUCCAAAUCAAAUUUGUAUGGACUUUGAACUAUUUGGGUAUAGAAACUUACGACAUGAACCGCCGAACAAGUUGGUUUUUGACAAUCAUGAACUACGUUUGAGAGGCGGCCCAUGCUCUGGCAUGCAGAACGACUGUCCUGAAAACUCUGAAUGUACCAAUCCAGUUCUUUUGGAUUAUGGAUGCAAGUGUAAUGAUGGCUUUCAGAGCUCAACUGGA